UGGGCGUAAGCGCGCGCAGGCGGUUUCUUAAGUCUGAUGUGAAAGCCCACGGCUCAACCGUGGAGGGUCAUUGGAAACUGGGGAACUUGAGUGCAUAAGAGAAAAGCGGAAUUCCACGUGUAGCGGUGAAAUGCGUAGAGAUGUGGAGGAACACCAGUGGCGAAGGCGGCUUUUUGGUCUGUAACUGACGCUGAGGCGCGAAAGCGUGGGGAGCAAACAGGAUUAGAUACCCUGGUAGUCCACGCCGUAAACGAUGAGUGCUAAGUGUUAGAGGGUUUCCGCCCUUUAGUGCUGCAGCUAACGCAUUAAGCACUCCGCCUGGGGAGUACGGUCGCAAGACUGAAACUCAAAGGAAUUGACGGGGGCCCGCACAAGCGGUGGAGCAUGUGGUUUAAUUCUUAUCAACGCGAAGAACCUUACCAGGUCUUGACGGGCGCUGACAACUCUAGAGAUAGAGCGUUCCCCUUCGGGGGACAGAGUGACAGGUGGUGCAUGGUUGUCGUCAGCUCGUGUCGUGAGAUGUCGGGUUAAGUCCCGC
RNAcentral lists this ribosomal RNA (538 nucleotides) under Priestia flexa. Its description in RNAcentral is "bacterial SSU rRNA". It matches the Rfam family "Bacterial small subunit ribosomal RNA", at positions 555 to 1090 of the family's 1533-position model. Lineage: Bacteria; Bacillati; Bacillota; Bacilli; Caryophanales; Bacillaceae. The record is from RNAcentral.